Long non-coding RNA from Oryza sativa Japonica Group (Japanese rice), 358 nucleotides. RefSeq lists it as uncharacterized. Lineage: Eukaryota; Viridiplantae; Streptophyta; Magnoliopsida; Poales; Poaceae. The record is from RefSeq and is a predicted model, not a curated record.
GUCAGCCCCCUCUCUCUCUCUCUCUCUCUCGUCAUCUCCCCCGCCCCACGCCAUCGGCACCGCUGGUCGCGCUGCCACGGCCGCUCCCGCACGACACGCGGCGCGCCUCUUACUACCCCUACCAAAUCGCCUCGCCGAACAAUCCCGAUUCGAUUCACUAGGUCGACGCCACCAGCUGCCGCCGGAAGUUGGUGGCGAACGCAUCCAUGAGCGCGCGGCGGAGCACCACUGACACCUGCACGCCGCCGUCCGCCGCGCCCAGCAUCAUCACCACCUCCUCGCCGUACACGGUGGCCAGCUCGGCGCGGCUCGGCGCGCCCCACCCGAAGUCCGUCUCGUACGCCAUGUACCGGUGCGA